Molecule: ribosomal RNA, 433 nt
Filed under: uncultured bacterium
Lineage: Bacteria
Description: partial 16S ribosomal RNA
Rfam family: Bacterial small subunit ribosomal RNA
Source: RNAcentral
AACGAACGCUGGCGGCAGGCCUAACACAUGCAAGUCGAGCGAGGACUUCGGUUCUAGCGGCGGACGGGUGAGUAACGCGUGGGAAUGUGCCCUUCUCUACGGAAUAGCACUGGGAAACUGGGAGUAAUACCGUAUACGCCCUAUUGGGGAAAGAUUUAUCGGAGAAGGAUCAGCCCGCGUUGGAUUAGGUAGUUGGUGGGGUAAUGGCCUACCAAGCCGACGAUCCAUAGCUGGUUUGAGAGGAUGAUCAGCCACACUGGGACUGAGACACGGCCCAGACUCCUACGGGAGGCAGCAGUGGGGAAUCUUAGACAAUGGGGGCAACCCUGAUCUAGCCAUGCCGCGUGAGUGAUGAAGGCCUUAGGGUUGUAAAGCUCUUUCAGCUGGGAAGAUAAUGACGGUACCAGCAGAAGAAGCCCCGGCUAACUCCGUG